GCGUGAGUGAUGAAGGCCUUAGGGUUGUAAAGCUCUUUCGGCGGGGACGAUGAUGACGGUACCCGCAGAAGAAGCCCCGGCUAACUUCGUGCCAGCAGCCGCGGUAAUACGAAGGGGGCGAGCGUUGUUCGGAAUUACUGGGCGUAAAGGGCGCGCAGGCGGCGUCGGAAGUCGGGCGUGAAAGCCCCGGGCUCAACCUGGGAAUUGCGCUUGAUACUCCGAUGCUGGAGUUCGGGAGAGGAGAGUGGAAUUCCCAGUGUAGAGGUGAAAUUCGU
RNAcentral lists this ribosomal RNA (275 nucleotides) under uncultured bacterium. Its description in RNAcentral is "partial 16S ribosomal RNA". It matches the Rfam family "Bacterial small subunit ribosomal RNA", at positions 399 to 691 of the family's 1533-position model. The record is from RNAcentral.